UAGGGAAUAUUGGGCAAUGGAGGGAACUCUGACCCAGCCAUGCCGCGUGCAGGAAGAAGGCGUUAUGCGUUGUAAACUGCUUUUUUAUAGGAAGAAGGAUCUCUUGCGAGAGAAGGUGACGGUACUAUAAGAAUAAGCACCGGCUAACUCCGUGCCAGCAGCCGCGGUAAUACGGAGGGUGCAAGCGUUGUCCGGAUUUAUUGGGUUUAAAGGGUGCGUAGGCGGUUUAUUAAGUCAGUGGUGAAAGACGGUCGCUCAACGAUUGCAGUGCCAUUGAUACUGGUAGACUUGAGUGUGAUUGAGGUAGCUGGAAUGGAUAGUGUAGCGGUGAAAUGCAUAGAUAUUAUCCAGAACACCGAUUGCGAAGGCAGGUUACUAAGUCAUA
RNAcentral lists this ribosomal RNA (385 nucleotides) under uncultured bacterium. RNAcentral describes it as "bacterial SSU rRNA". It matches the Rfam family "Bacterial small subunit ribosomal RNA", at positions 355 to 738 of the family's 1533-position model. The record is from RNAcentral.